UGGGGAAUAUUGCACAAUGGGCGCAAGCCUGAUGCAGCCAUGCCGCGUGUAUGAAGAAGGCCUUCGGGUUGUAAAGUACUUUCAGCGGGGAGGAAGGCGUUAAGGUUAAUAACCUUAUCAAUUGACGUUACCGACAGAAGAAGCACCGGCUAACUCCGUGCCAGCAGCCGCGGUAAUACGGAGGGUGCAAGCGUUAAUCGGAAUUACUGGGCGUAAAGCGCACGCAGGCGGUUGAUUGAGUCAGAUGUGAAAUCCCCGGGCUUAACCCGGGAAUUGCAUCUGAUACUGGUCAGCUAGAGUCUUGUAGAGGGGGGUAGAAUUCCAUGUGUAGCGGUGAAAUGCGUAGAGAUGUGGAGGAAUACCGGUGGCGAAGGCGGCCCCCUGGACAAAGACUGACGCUCAGGUGCGAAAGCGUGGGGAGCAAACAGG
RNAcentral lists this ribosomal RNA (429 nucleotides) under Chloroflexota bacterium. RNAcentral describes it as "Chloroflexi bacterium partial 16S ribosomal RNA". It matches the Rfam family "Bacterial small subunit ribosomal RNA", at positions 355 to 776 of the family's 1533-position model. Lineage: Bacteria; Bacillati; Chloroflexota. The record is from RNAcentral.